Long non-coding RNA from Leopardus geoffroyi (Geoffroy's cat), 1148 nucleotides. RefSeq lists it as uncharacterized. The transcript is spliced from 4 exons. NCBI's taxonomy places the organism in Eukaryota, Metazoa, Chordata, Mammalia, Carnivora, Felidae. The record is from RefSeq and is a predicted model, not a curated record.
GGAGCGCGGGGCCAGGACGCGGGGCUUGGCCGGGGCGGGGCGCUUCUGGGAGACGCGGCUCCUCCCGCGGGAGGUGAGACAGGAAAGGCGGAGCUUGGCCGGCGGGCGGGACGAAGGAGGGAAGCGAGGCGGGGUGGGGGGCGGUAUUCCCGGAGGGAAACUUAGUUGUGAUUGGUUGGAAUAGUCCGGGAGCUAGAGACAGACAACUGAGGCGGGGUUACAUGGAAACAGGACCAGGAAACAGUCAUCUAAAGACGUCCCCCGAGGAGUGCCGCUGCCUGUCCCUGCCCACGGGGUUGAGGAGGGAAGGAAAGAGCAUCAGAGCAUCACCUACCAACCCCUCAGCAUCCACAGAUUUGCAGGAUUUCCUCUGCAGCGGGAGGGAUGAGGGCUGGACAAGAGGAAGGACUGUCCCUCUCCCUCCAGAGCGAGUCGGCGUAGGAGGAGAAGUCAGAGUUGGCGUCCUUCUCGGCCAGAUAGACCAGGAAGGAGGCAAAGAUGAGCACCAGGAAUCCGAUGUACCAGGCGGUGAUCAGCUCCUGCGGGGACAGCAAAGAUGAAAACGUCAGGAGGGCCGAGCCAGAGGGGUAUAAGGAAGCGCCUAAUACUGUGCGUACCUGGCAGAGGGGGGCAGGUGGGAGGUUCCCAGAAUGACCCCGAGAGGUGUUCUGGAGGGGGGAUAAAGGCGCCCCACCUCUCCGAGUUGCCUGGCGGCCACUGCCCAUCUUUCUUUCCCAGCUCCUCCUUCCGGGGAGACCCUGCCCCGCCUUCCCGGCCUCAGGGUACGCCCCCGGCCCCGCCCUUGACCCCCCCCCCCAGGUUCCAGGUUCCGACUUCAGUCCCCAGGCCCACCGCCCCUCAACACCCCACACACCCCAACAUCCAGUCCCCCCCACCCGCCCCAGCUCCCCACUUUGCUGUGCACACAGACUCACCUAACCCAGAAGCUUCCGACUGAGCCCCUCAACCCCUUACCCCUCAAGCCCCUCUUCCUGGCCUGCACCUGCCCUCCCCCUGCAGACUGGCCCUCGCCGGGCCUCAGAGAUCGGCCCCUGUGGCCUGGCCCCCGCCGGGCCCACAGUCUCCCCAACCCUGGGGCUGGACUCGGGCCCUGCCCCACCCCCCACCUCCGGCCCCGGGAGACGUCC